Molecule: ribosomal RNA, 590 nt
Filed under: Bacillus pumilus
Lineage: Bacteria; Bacillati; Bacillota; Bacilli; Caryophanales; Bacillaceae
Description: bacterial SSU rRNA
Rfam family: Bacterial small subunit ribosomal RNA
Source: RNAcentral
GGCUCGCAGGCGGUUUCUUAAGUCUGAUGUGAAAGCCCCCGGCUCAACCGGGGAGGGUCAUUGGAAACUGGGAAACUUGAGUGCAGAAGAGGAGAGUGGAAUUCCACGUGUAGCGGUGAAAUGCGUAGAGAUGUGGAGGAACACCAGUGGCGAAGGCGACUCUCUGGUCUGUAACUGACGCUGAGGAGCGAAAGCGUGGGGAGCGAACAGGAUUAGAUACCCUGGUAGUCCACGCCGUAAACGAUGAGUGCUAAGUGUUAGGGGGUUUCCGCCCCUUAGUGCUGCAGCUAACGCAUUAAGCACUCCGCCUGGGGAGUACGGUCGCAAGACUGAAACUCAAAGGAAUUGACGGGGGCCCGCACAAGCGGUGGAGCAUGUGGUUUAAUUCGAAGCAACGCGAAGAACCUUACCAGGUCUUGACAUCCUCUGACAACCCUAGAGAUAGGGCUUUCCCUUCGGGGACAGAGUGACAGGUGGUGCAUGGUUGUCGUCAGCUCGUGUCGUGAGAUGUUGGGUUAAGUCCCGCAACGAGCGCAACCCUUGAUCUUAGUUGCCAGCAUUCAGUUGGGCACUCUAAGGUGACUGCCGGU